RNAcentral lists this ribosomal RNA (380 nucleotides) under uncultured Methanolinea sp. Its description in RNAcentral is "bacterial SSU rRNA". It matches the Rfam family "Archaeal small subunit ribosomal RNA", at positions 961 to 1338 of the family's 1478-position model. Lineage: Archaea; Methanobacteriati; Methanobacteriota; Methanomicrobia; Methanomicrobiales; Methanoregulaceae. The record is from RNAcentral.
GAAGACUCUGCUUGACUAGCUGAGAGAGGUGCAUGGCCGUCGGUCAGUUCGUACUGUGAAGCAUCCUGUUAAGUCAGGCAACGAGCGAGACCCACGCCAACAGUUGCCAGUCAUGUCCUCCGGGAUGAUGGGGACACUGUUGGGACCGCUCUGCUAAAGAGGAGGAAGGGAAUGGGCAACGGUAGGUCAGCAUGCCCCGAAUUAUCCGGGGCUACACGCGGGCUACAAUGGUCAGGACAAUGGGUAUCGACACCGAGAGGUGGAGGCAAUCUCCUAAACCUGUCCUUAGUUCGGAUUGUGGGCUGCAACUCGCCCACAUGAAGCUGGAAUCCGUAGUAAUCGCGUUUCAAAAUAGCGCGGUGAAUAUGUCCCUGCUCCUU